CCAUUUUCGGAACCUGUUAACGGCAGCUUCUUGCUCUGCUCUGGCCACCUUCUCAAUCUCAGAAAGAUAUUCCCGAUCAACCAACAUCCCCUCAGUUUCCAUUUUAACUAGAAUCUCACCGAAUGGUUGCCAGUAUUCCGGAUAAAAGUCAAACAUGGAUUUUCCUGGAACUGGUUUCCCAUCAAGUUUCCAUGACAUUUCUAAAAGUAUUUUUUUUCAAGCUCUUACAAAGCUUCAGUGUGUUUAUUGAAUCAAAGGCAGAAUAAGAGAUCCACAAUUCUCGCUCCUCUCUUUGAAGCUCUUCAACAGGAGCAAUGGUGCUUAUUUUGCCAGCAGAUCCAUCC
RNAcentral lists this long non-coding RNA (344 nucleotides) under Citrus maxima (pomelo). Its description in RNAcentral is "long non-coding RNA (CMAX_LNC000849)". Lineage: Eukaryota; Viridiplantae; Streptophyta; Magnoliopsida; Sapindales; Rutaceae. The record is from RNAcentral.